ACGGUGAGUAACACGUAUCCAACCUGCCGUCUACUCUUGGCCAGCCUUCUGAAAGGAAGAUUAAUCCAGGAUGGCAUCAUGAGUUCACAUGUCCGCAUGAUUAAAGGUAUUUUCCGGUAGACGAUGGGGAUGCGUUCCAUUAGAUAGUAGGCGGGGUAACGGCCCACCUAGUCAACGAUGGAUAGGGGUUCUGAGAGGAAGGUCCCCCACAUUGGAACUGAGACACGGUCCAA
Molecule: ribosomal RNA, 233 nt
Filed under: uncultured bacterium
Lineage: Bacteria
Description: partial 16S ribosomal RNA
Rfam family: Bacterial small subunit ribosomal RNA
Source: RNAcentral